CCUACGGGAGGAGGCAGCAGUGAGGAAUAUUGGUCAAUGGGCGCAAGCCUGAACCAGCCAUCCCGCGUGCAGGAAGACGGCGCUAUGCGUUGUAAACUGCUUUUCCAGGGAGAGAAACUUGCGCACGUGUUGCGCAAUUGACGGUACCCUGGGAAUAAGCAUCGGCUAACUCCGUGCCAGCAGCCGCGGUAAU
RNAcentral lists this ribosomal RNA (193 nucleotides) under uncultured Bacteroidota bacterium. Its description in RNAcentral is "uncultured Bacteroidetes bacterium partial 16S ribosomal RNA". It matches the Rfam family "Bacterial small subunit ribosomal RNA", at positions 338 to 524 of the family's 1533-position model. The record is from RNAcentral. Lineage: Bacteria; Pseudomonadati; Bacteroidota.